GACGGGUGGCUGAGUCUGGUUAAAGGCGCCCACUUGAAAUGGGCUAAUGCUUAUCGCAUUCCAGGGUUCAAAUCCCUGUCCGUCCG
RNAcentral lists this transfer RNA (86 nucleotides) under Rhizophagus irregularis DAOM 181602=DAOM 197198. Its description in RNAcentral is "tRNA-Ser". It matches the Rfam family "tRNA". From Rfam's summary of the family: Transfer RNA (tRNA) molecules are approximately 80 nucleotides in length. Their secondary structure includes four short double-helical elements and three loops (D, anti-codon, and T loops). The record is from RNAcentral. Lineage: Eukaryota; Fungi; Glomeromycota; Glomeromycetes; Glomerales; Glomeraceae.